Scophthalmus maximus (turbot) is the source of this 109-nucleotide ribosomal RNA. Lineage: Eukaryota; Metazoa; Chordata; Actinopteri; Pleuronectiformes; Scophthalmidae. The record is from Ensembl.
GCUUACGGCCACACCGCCUGGUAUACGCUUGAUCUCGGAAAAUAAGAUAGGUUGGGCCUGGUUAGUACUUGGAUGGGAGACCGCCUGGGAAUACCAGGUGCUGUAAGCU